GCUGGUUUGGCUCAGUGGAUAGAGCGUCAGCCUGUGGACUGAAGAAUUCCCGGUUCAAUUCCGGUCAAGAGCA
Molecule: non-coding RNA, 73 nt
Organism: Myotis brandtii (Brandt's bat)
Lineage: Eukaryota; Metazoa; Chordata; Mammalia; Chiroptera; Vespertilionidae
Source: Rfam